AAAGGGAAGAGGUUUGUCACGUACCCCCAUAGGAGGUCGCUCCACCUUUUCUCUGGAGUGGCAAUUGAUGCUGGCGGGCGCUGGCUGCUGGCGGUUGAGCUCCGGCUGUGGCUCAGUGGAUGGGGCGCGGUUCUUUGCCAACACCUAUUGCCAAAAAGGAGGCGGUUCGCUGGCAUGCCGGUCUUCCAUGGCAUGCCUCGGCCUAACCCUCCCCAAACCAUGGUACUCCCGUGGCCCACUAAAUCGGAGUACCCCAAAAGCUUACUCACCUGUUCAUUACAACAUUCCUUCCCCUUUCUUUAGUCUCCUAUCCCUUCAUGGGAAAGAAAAAAAACCAAAAAUAUUUCAUUCUAACAUUCGUACAAAAUUCGGCACUGCUUUAUUUGGAGGUCACAACCUCCCUGAUACUCUCAAUUUUGACAUUUAUAACUAAACUUGUAAUGACCAAAGAAAAGGUUCCUGGUUCUAAUAGCGACUGUUCCGGAUAAAUGCCAAUGGAGUCCCCGGGUAUUGUGGUCCUGGUGGCAGCCUCUGCGGCCAAUAGGGUCCCUUUUAGGUUCUCGUUUGUCCGUCCGUCCGUCUAGUCUUUGGGGUUUUCUGAUGUGCUGCUUUCUCAGCACCGUAAGGUCAACAUUGGCUGAUGGGCAAGGAAAUAUCCUCUACUAUCCACUACCUAACCUAACUAUGAGCUCAUGCUUAGGUUACUCUAUAGAACCCAACCAAAGGAAAAAACUUUUUUUUAACAAAAAUAAAUCCGUCGAGAGUCAACCGUCUGUAUGCCUGUCUGUUUAUGGUCAGAGAAAUUUUUGGACUACCUUAUGGACACUGGGGUAUGCGACAGCGUCUAGGUCCCUCGGUGGAGUAGCGACAGGAGUUGUGGAUAUGCCAAUUGCAGCAGCUGAAGUCUUUUAUACGUGUGGCAGUGGAGGUGGAGGUGUCUUGACUUUCGCUUUUAUUUUUAGACUUAAGUUUUUAGCUUUAAAUUUUACAUUAUAUGAUUUGAUUUCUUUUCUAUUUCUUUUCAGUGUUUUCUUCUUUAAUAAAUCUUUCUUUUUCUUUUACAGGUUUUUUUUUACAGCUUUACUU
This is a long non-coding RNA of Stomoxys calcitrans (stable fly), 1086 nucleotides long. RefSeq lists it as uncharacterized. The record is from RefSeq and is a predicted model, not a curated record. The transcript has 4 exons. Lineage: Eukaryota; Metazoa; Arthropoda; Insecta; Diptera; Muscidae.